Molecule: long non-coding RNA, 632 nt
Organism: Numida meleagris (helmeted guineafowl)
Lineage: Eukaryota; Metazoa; Chordata; Aves; Galliformes; Numididae
Exons: 3
Source: RefSeq, a predicted model, not a curated record
CAAAUAAUCAAGGAUUCAUUGACAGUGUUUCCACUCAUCCUGUUUGGGAUGUGCAUUGGGGUUGGCCUGUCCAGCCAGCCCCAAAGGUAGCUCCUGUGCUGCGCUGCCACUGUGCGUUCAGUCUUGCUGCCCCCUAGGUAUCCAAAUCUGAGCAUCCAAGAGAGCUAGUCUAGUGCUACACCUCUUAAUAGUGUUCAAACAGAGAGAGCACCACCUGCUCUGGAGAACUGUGAACGUUGGCUGCGACAGGAGGGGGAGCUCUCAGCGCAUGAGGCAGAGAAAGGGGGCUAGUGGGGAGCGCGGCUCUCCCAAACCGGAGAGGGGCAGGGGGGGAGAGCGGCUCUCACCCUGUCGCAGGAGUACCUGCGUGUCACUGAUGGCUGCUGCCACUCAGCCCAGAACAGAAAAACAGGAAUGAAUAUUCAGCGAUGAAUGCCAGUGGAAAUGUUGAUGGGAGGAACAAAGUACAAAUUAAGAAGCUUUGGGAAUCUUCUUAAUGUGUGUCUGUUUUUAUUGCUAUUUCUGCGGAUUUCUUUGCUAUGUGUUAUAUUGUUUAACUGAGGAAAAGGAAAACAGAAUAUGUGUUUACUGUGCACUAAGCUGUAAGUACCUUUUUCAGACAUCAUAAUCAU